This 156-nucleotide ribosomal RNA is filed under the name uncultured Persicobacter sp. RNAcentral describes it as "partial 16S ribosomal RNA". It matches the Rfam family "Bacterial small subunit ribosomal RNA", at positions 355 to 507 of the family's 1533-position model. Lineage: Bacteria; Pseudomonadati; Bacteroidota; Cytophagia; Cytophagales; Persicobacteraceae. The record is from RNAcentral.
UAAGGAAUAUUGGUCAAUGGACGAAAGUCUGAACCAGCUAUGCCGCGUGAAGGAUUAAGGUCCUGCUGGAUUGUAAACUUCUUUUAUNUGGGACGAAAAAAGAUCUUUCUAGAUCACUUGACGGUACCAAAUGAAUAAGCNCCGGCUAACUCCGUG